Molecule: long non-coding RNA, 585 nt
Organism: Patella vulgata (common limpet)
Lineage: Eukaryota; Metazoa; Mollusca; Gastropoda; Patellidae
Exons: 3
Source: RefSeq, a predicted model, not a curated record
AGCUUUCGGACUCCUGUAAACAUUCUUUUGUCGAUACGUAAGUGAACUACUGUAGUAUAAUCUACAUCUUCAGCAUUAUGAAUCUUUUGAUGGUUGCAUUGUUCGCGGCAGUUCUUCUGGGUGCUGAGAGCAGAAGACGCACACGUUUGUCUUGCAAUAUCUACGGCAACGGAAUAUAUGGGGCUACUGAUGGUGUUGAGGAAGAUACCUCUAUAGUGGGAUGCAAUGCCGGUCAUAUACACUGGAGUUACCCCAGAGGCAAAUUCAUAUUAACAUUUCUUAACGAUGGAAGUUCUGACAGAUUUCGAGUUUGUUUAAAGAAAAGAACAAGCAGUUUUGGCAGUAUAAGAGAUAUCAGCAUGGGCUUCACGCCUACAGAUCUAACACUGGAAGGUGACGAAUUGUGUACGUGUCAACGACCAAACAGUAAUGUAGUUGUAGAAAUACAGGCACCAGAACAGCUUCUAUACAGAGCUUCGUUACAAUACAGAAUAGAUCGACAAUAAUCAACUCUAUAGUCUUCACAUGCAUGUAUUUAGAUUAAUUGUGCUAUCUAUAUUUUGCAAAAUAAAACAUUGCUGAAAA